AGAAACCAUCCGGCGCAAAAGAUUCCUUCUGAAGAGAAAUAUGAGCGAAACACCAUGUAUUCUGAAGUACUCGGCAAUCUGUUCAUGAUGCUGCAUCAAUCCCUGUAUUAAGCAUUCGCUCCUUUUAGACACCAAAAUGUUCCUAACCGUUGCAAGAAAGGAAAUUCAAAUAUAGGGAAUCAAAUGAAUUAGCCUCAUUCAUAAGAAUUUAAUUUAGCAUCAUCAAGUGUCCUUGCCAAAGAAUGGGCAACUUAUAUACAAUAGUUCAGUGAACAUGUUGAGAAAUAUUAUCAGUAGAGAUUGUUGUAGCAUCAGAAAUUGUGUCCACUGGCCUGUAGUAAGAAAUAUGGUCAUGCUUAAAUUAUCUUUUCAAAUAUUUGAGCUUAUUUGAAAAUAGACAUGCAGUUAGCAACUUCUAUAUUUUUAGGAAGAUAAAAACAAUUAGACAAGAGACAAGUCGUAGUUCAUUCUCAACCAGUUUUUGUUAUUAUACUUUCUUCUAAAUCUAAUGAGGUUGUAGAGUUGGCUCAUACACUCGAGCAUUCUACUAAGUAACAUUCAGAGAAACUCCAAGAACCAUCCAUCAUAUGCAAAACCAUUCAAACAUAAAAAAGAACACCGAUCUUCAUUGAACCUUCAUCAGCAUAUGUUAUGUAAACAUUUCUUAACUUACACAAAUCGUCUAGGAAGGAGAAAAAUACAUGGCAAA
Molecule: long non-coding RNA, 709 nt
Organism: Vigna unguiculata (cowpea)
Lineage: Eukaryota; Viridiplantae; Streptophyta; Magnoliopsida; Fabales; Fabaceae
Source: RefSeq, a predicted model, not a curated record